Molecule: ribosomal RNA, 2354 nt
Filed under: Staphylococcus aureus F77974
Lineage: Bacteria; Bacillati; Bacillota; Bacilli; Caryophanales; Staphylococcaceae
Also listed under: 5 other names
Description: bacterial LSU rRNA
Rfam family: Bacterial large subunit ribosomal RNA
Source: RNAcentral
UUAAGUUAUUAAGGGCGCACGGUGGAUGCCUUGGCACUAGAAGCCGAUGAAGGACGUUACUAACGACGAUAUGCUUUGGGGAGCUGUAAGUAAGCUUUGAUCCAGAGAUUUCCGAAUGGGGAAACCCAGCAUGAGUUAUGUCAUGUUAUCGAUAUGUGAAUACAUAGCAUAUCAGAAGGCACACCCGGAGAACUGAAACAUCUUAGUACCCGGAGGAAGAGAAAGAAAAUUCGAUUCCCUUAGUAGCGGCGAGCGAAACGGGAAGAGCCCAAACCAAAAAGCUUGCUUGUUGGGGUUGUAGGACACUCUAUACGGAGUUACAAAGGACGACAUUAGACGAAUCAUCUGGAAAGAUGAAUCAAAGAAGGUAAUAAUCCUGUAGUCGAAAAUGUUGUCUCUCUUGAGUGGAUCCUGAGUACGACGGAGCACGUGAAAUUCCGUCGGAAUCUGGGAGGACCAUCUCCUAAGGCUAAAUACUCUCUAGUGACCGAUAGUGAACCAGUACCGUGAGGGAAAGGUGAAAAGCACCCCGGAAGGGGAGUGAAAUAGAACCUGAAACCGUGUGCUUACAAGUAGUCAGAGCCCGUUAAUGGGUGAUGGCGUGCCUUUUGUAGAAUGAACCGGCGAGUUACGAUUUGAUGCAAGGUUAAGCAGUAAAUGUGGAGCCGUAGCGAAAGCGAGUCUGAAUAGGGCGUUUAGUAUUUGGUCGUAGACCCGAAACCAGGUGAUCUACCCUUGGUCAGGUUGAAGUUCAGGUAACACUGAAUGGAGGACCGAACCGACUUACGUUGAAAAGUGAGCGGAUGAACUGAGGGUAGCGGAGAAAUUCCAAUCGAACCUGGAGAUAGCUGGUUCUCUCCGAAAUAGCUUUAGGGCUAGCCUCAAGUGAUGAUUAUUGGAGGUAGAGCACUGUUUGGACGAGGGGCCCCUCUCGGGUUACCGAAUUCAGACAAACUCCGAAUGCCAAUUAAUUUAACUUGGGAGUCAGAACAUGGGUGAUAAGGUCCGUGUUCGAAAGGGAAACAGCCCAGACCACCAGCUAAGGUCCCAAAAUAUAUGUUAAGUGGAAAAGGAUGUGGCGUUGCCCAGACAACUAGGAUGUUGGCUUAGAAGCAGCCAUCAUUUAAAGAGUGCGUAAUAGCUCACUAGUCGAGUGACACUGCGCCGAAAAUGUACCGGGGCUAAACAUAUUACCGAAGCUGUGGAUUGUCCUUUGGACAAUGGUAGGAGAGCGUUCUAAGGGCGUUGAAGCAUGAUCGUAAGGACAUGUGGAGCGCUUAGAAGUGAGAAUGCCGGUGUGAGUAGCGAAAGACGGGUGAGAAUCCCGUCCACCGAUUGACUAAGGUUUCCAGAGGAAGGCUCGUCCGCUCUGGGUUAGUCGGGUCCUAAGCUGAGGCCGACAGGCGUAGGCGAUGGAUAACAGGUUGAUAUUCCUGUACCACCUAUAAUCGUUUUAAUCGAUGGGGGGACGCAGUAGGAUAGGCGAAGCGUGCGAUUGGAUUGCACGUCUAAGCAGUAAGGCUGAGUAUUAGGCAAAUCCGGUACUCGUUAAGGCUGAGCUGUGAUGGGGAGAAGACAUUGUGUCUUCGAGUCGUUGAUUUCACACUGCCGAGAAAAGCCUCUAGAUAGAAAAUAGGUGCCCGUACCGCAAACCGACACAGGUAGUCAAGAUGAGAAUUCUAAGGUGAGCGAGCGAACUCUCGUUAAGGAACUCGGCAAAAUGACCCCGUAACUUCGGGAGAAGGGGUGCUCUUUAGGGUUAACGCCCAGAAGAGCCGCAGUGAAUAGGCCCAAGCGACUGUUUAUCAAAAACACAGGUCUCUGCUAAACCGUAAGGUGAUGUAUAGGGGCUGACGCCUGCCCGGUGCUGGAAGGUUAAGAGGAGUGGUUAGCUUCUGCGAAGCUACGAAUCGAAGCCCCAGUAAACGGCGGCCGUAACUAUAACGGUCCUAAGGUAGCGAAAUUCCUUGUCGGGUAAGUUCCGACCCGCACGAAAGGCGUAACGAUUUGGGCACUGUCUCAACGAGAGACUCGGUGAAAUCAUAGUACCUGUGAAGAUGCAGGUUACCCGCGACAGGACGGAAAGACCCCGUGGAGCUUUACUGUAGCCUGAUAUUGAAAUUCGGCACAGCUUGUACAGGAUAGGUAGGAGCCUUUGAAACGUGAGCGCUAGCUUACGUGGAGGCGCUGGUGGGAUACUACCCUAGCUGUGUUGGCUUUCUAACCCGCACCACUUAUCGUGGUGGGAGACAGUGUCAGGCGGGCAGUUUGACUGGGGCGGUCGCCUCCUAAAAGGUAACGGAGGCGCUCAAAGGUUCCCUCAGAAUGGUUGGAAAUCAUUCAUAGAGUGUAAA